This 513-nucleotide ribosomal RNA is filed under the name uncultured bacterium. Its description in RNAcentral is "partial 16S ribosomal RNA". It matches the Rfam family "Bacterial small subunit ribosomal RNA", at positions 28 to 523 of the family's 1533-position model. The record is from RNAcentral.
GACGAACGCUGGCGGCGUGCCUAAUACAUGCAAGUUGAGCGCUGAAGGUUGGUACUUGUACCAACUGGAUGAGCAGCGAACGGGUGAGUAACGCGUGGGGAAUCUGCCUUUGAGCGGGGGACAACAUUUGGAAACGAAUGCUAAUACCGCAUAAAAACUUUAAACACAAGUUUUAAGUUUGAAAGAUGCAAUUGCAUCACUCAAAGAUGAUCCCGGGUUGUAUUAGCUAGUUGGUGAGGUAAAGGCUCACCAAGGCGAUGAUACACAGCCGACCUGAGAGGGUGAUCGGCCACAUUGGGACUGAGACACGGCCCAAACUCCUACGGGAGGCAGCAGUAGGGAAUCUUCGGCAAUGGACGAAAGUCUGACCGAGCAACGCCGCGUGAGUGAAGAAGGUUUUCGGAUCGUAAAACUCUGUUGGUAGAGAAGAACGUUGGUGAGAGUGGAAAGCUCAUCAAGUGACGGUAACUACCCAAAAAGGGACGGCUAACUACGUGCCAGCCGCCGCCGUAA